AUUCAGAUACAAACAUCGAAUCAAACAUGCCUUAUGUGACAUCUCUAGGAUUUGAAAUAGUCGUGUGUAUAUAGCUAAAACUUUUAAUCCAGGUAUAGCAUUUUGGACCGUGACUAAACUCGAGGAUAAGAGGGUUAAGCAUGCUAGAGCCAUAAUAGUUCUAGAAUAGAUAACCCUCUGAGAAGCAGGGUGUCAUAGUUGAUAUCAAAGCCAAUCACCAGCUGGAAAUGUGAGAUAAGUCUCGACUAAACUAGGAUUAUACAGCGGGUAGAGCAAGCUUCCCAACUGAUGACCGUUAUAGGUGAAGAGCAACUCCCUAUAAGGUCAGCUAAAUGCUAGUGAACUGAGUUUUACAUCACCUGGUGCUUGUGAAUAUGCUUAAGCCUAACGAAAACAUUAAGGCUUAAAGUGGGGCGAGGGGAGGGGAGAGGGGGGAGGAAUAUGACAUUUCAUCAGAUUUAGAAUAGUCCUAUAUAUAUAAGAUAUAAUAGGGCUAAAUCAUUUAACCCAGUUAUAAUAUUUGGAGUUGU
This 530-nucleotide long non-coding RNA is filed under the name Ananas comosus (pineapple). Its description in RNAcentral is "long non-coding RNA (ACOM_LNC028776)". Lineage: Eukaryota; Viridiplantae; Streptophyta; Magnoliopsida; Poales; Bromeliaceae. The record is from RNAcentral.